GACGAACCGUGCGAACGUUAUUCGGAAUCACUGGGCUUAAAGGGCGCGUAGGCGGGCCGCAUAGUCAGGGGUGAAAUCCUCCAGCUUAACUGGAGAAGUGCCUCUGAUACUGGCGGCCUCGAGGGGUGCAGGGGCGUGCGGAACUUAGGGUGGAGCGGUGAAAUGCGUAGAUAUCCUAAGGAACACCGGUGGCGAAGGCGGCUUUCUGGACAGAUACCGACGCUGAGGCACGAAAGCUAGGGGAGCAAACGGG
Molecule: ribosomal RNA, 253 nt
Filed under: uncultured bacterium
Lineage: Bacteria
Description: partial 16S ribosomal RNA
Rfam family: Bacterial small subunit ribosomal RNA
Source: RNAcentral